This 253-nucleotide ribosomal RNA is filed under the name uncultured bacterium. RNAcentral describes it as "partial 16S ribosomal RNA". It matches the Rfam family "Bacterial small subunit ribosomal RNA", at positions 524 to 776 of the family's 1533-position model. The record is from RNAcentral.
UACGGAGGGUGCAAGCGUUAUCCGGAUUCACUGGGUUUAAAGGGUGCGUAGGUUGAUAGGUAAGUCAGUGGUGAAAUACUCCGACUCAAUCGGAGAACUGCCGUUGAUACUAUUUAUCUUGAAUACGGUGGAGGCGGGCGGAAUGCGUCAUGUAGUGGUGAAAUACUUAGAUAUGACGCAGAACACCCAUUGCGAAGGCAGCUCGCUACACCGGCAUUGACACUGAGGCACGAAAGCGUGGGGAUCAAACAGG